This 29-nucleotide small RNA is filed under the name Bombyx mori (domestic silkworm). Its description in RNAcentral is "ovarian small RNA-18230". The record is from RNAcentral. Lineage: Eukaryota; Metazoa; Arthropoda; Insecta; Lepidoptera; Bombycidae.
UAAACUGAAAAUACUAAAAACGCACGUUC